AUGGACGCGGCCGUGUCCCUGCACCACCAUGGGGCGCUCCCCGCCACCGCCGCCUCACUCCCGCCCCACCACCACCACCGCGCGCUCCACCUCAGGCACCCGCGUCACUCCUCCGUCUCCACGCGCCUAGCCGUGACCGCGGCGCCGUCCAGGGCGCCCCGCUGCUCCUCGUCGGCCUCCGGCGCUCCGGCGCACCCGGCGCAUGCCAGCACCAGCACCACCAGCAGCCGCGCCGCCACGGGGUACGCGGCCGCGCUGGCCGACGCGUCGCUCCGCGCGGGCACGCUGCCCGGGGCCGCCCGCCACGCGCGCGCCCUGCUCCGGCGCCUGAAGGAGCCUCCCCGCGGGCAGCGCCUGGAGGAGCCCGACGCGCGGGUGGGCGCCCUGGUGCGGCUGCUCGUCGGCAAGGGCAAGGCCGGCAUGGUCGCCGACGUCAUGGCCGAGUUCGCCGCCCUCUGCGACCACCUGCUCGCCCCGCCGCCGUCCUCGACCUCCAGCAAGCGCGCCCACGCCCAGGCCCACUAG
RNAcentral lists this ribosomal RNA (525 nucleotides) under Triticum aestivum (bread wheat). RNAcentral's name for it is "partial small subunit ribosomal RNA". Lineage: Eukaryota; Viridiplantae; Streptophyta; Magnoliopsida; Poales; Poaceae. The record is from RNAcentral.